GGCUGCCCCAUGUCCACUUUUCUCUCCCCUUUUGGCUCUCAUUUUUUAUUUUUGUUUCUUCUUUUUCUCCCCUCUCUCUCAUGACUCGAAGACAUGGUUGUUUACUUUCUCUCUCAUUCUUUUAAGGGUUUUGCUUUUUUUGAGUGUUGGGUUUUGUAGAAAGCGUGUAGAAGAUCUUUCUUGAUCAGAGUCUUCUGGGAUAGAAGGCGAAGUGAAAGUGAAAUUGAUUUGUUUUUAAUUAAAAA
RNAcentral lists this unclassified non-coding RNA (245 nucleotides) under Hevea brasiliensis (rubber tree). Lineage: Eukaryota; Viridiplantae; Streptophyta; Magnoliopsida; Malpighiales; Euphorbiaceae. The record is from RNAcentral.